RNAcentral lists this ribosomal RNA (443 nucleotides) under uncultured Anaerolineaceae bacterium. RNAcentral's name for it is "bacterial SSU rRNA". It matches the Rfam family "Bacterial small subunit ribosomal RNA", at positions 923 to 1382 of the family's 1533-position model. Lineage: Bacteria; Bacillati; Chloroflexota; Anaerolineae; Anaerolineales; Anaerolineaceae. The record is from RNAcentral.
GCACAAGCAGCGGAGCGUGUGGUUUAAUUCGUUGCUACACGAAGAACUUACCUGGGUUUGACAUAUAGGUUGUAGGGAACUGAAAGGGACCGACCCUUCGGGAGCCUAUACAGGUGUUGCAUGGCUGUCGUCAGCUCGUGUCGUGAGAUGUUCGGUUAAGUCCGCUAACGAGCGCAACCCUCGUCGUAUGUUAUAUGUGUCAUACGAGACUGCCGGUAAAAAGCCGGAGGAAGGUGAGGAUGAUGUCAAGUCAGCAUGACCUUUAUAUCCAGGGCUACACACACGCUACAAUGGUCUGUACAAUGGGUAGCCAAGCCGCGAGGCGGAGCCAAUCCUGAAAGCAGGCCUCAGUUCAGAUUGCAGUCUGCAACUCGACUGCAUGAAGCCGGAGUUGCUAGUAACCGCAGGUCAGCAAUACUGCGGUGAAUACGUUCUCGGGUCUU